Molecule: ribosomal RNA, 329 nt
Filed under: uncultured eukaryote
Lineage: Eukaryota
Description: partial 18S ribosomal RNA
Rfam family: Eukaryotic small subunit ribosomal RNA
Source: RNAcentral
CCCUUAGAUGUCCUGGGCUGCACGCGCGCUACACUGAUGCGUCCAAUAAGCACCUAACCUAAUCCGAAGGGACCGGGUAACCUUAGCAAAGCGCGUCGUGAUGGGGCUAGACCCUUGCAAUUAUUGGUCUCCAACGAGGAAUUCCUAGUAAACGCAAGUCAUCAGCUUGCAUUGAUUACGUCCCUGCCCUUUGUACACACCGCCCGUCGCACCUACCGAUUGAAUGGUCCGGUGAAAUCUUCGGAUUGAGACUUUGAUUUCUUCACGGAAAACGCUGUUUUAAAAAGUUGAUUAAACCUUACCAUUUAGAGGAAGGUGAAGUCGUAACA